CCUACGGGUGGCAGCAGUGGGGAAUAUUGGGCAAUGGACGCAAGUCUGACCCAGCAACGCCGCGUGAAGGAAGAAGGCUUUCUGGUUGUAAACCUCUUUUAAGGGGGAAGAGCAGCCGACGGUAUCCCUUGAAUAAGCCACGGCUAACUACGGGCGAGCAGCCGCGGUCAUACGUAGGUGGCAAGCGUUGUCCGGAUUUACGGGGGGUAAAGGGCGUGCAGCCGGAGAGACAAGUCAAGUGUGAAAUCCACGGGCUCAACCCGGGAUCUGCAUUUGAAACUGUUUCCCUUGAGUGUCGGAGAGGUAAGCGGAAUUCCUGGUGUAGCGGUGAAAUGCGUAGAUAUAAGGAAGAACACCAGUGGCGAAGGCGGAUUACUGGACGAUAACUGACGGUGAGGCGCGAAAGCGUGGGGAGCAAACAGGAUUAGAUACCCUAGUAGUC
Molecule: ribosomal RNA, 442 nt
Filed under: uncultured bacterium
Lineage: Bacteria
Description: partial 16S ribosomal RNA
Rfam family: Bacterial small subunit ribosomal RNA
Source: RNAcentral